RNAcentral lists this ribosomal RNA (403 nucleotides) under Fusobacteriota bacterium. RNAcentral's name for it is "Fusobacteria bacterium partial 16S ribosomal RNA". It matches the Rfam family "Bacterial small subunit ribosomal RNA", at positions 355 to 776 of the family's 1533-position model. Lineage: Bacteria; Fusobacteriati; Fusobacteriota. The record is from RNAcentral.
UGGGGAAUAUUGCACAAUGGGGGAAACCCUGAUGCAGCGACGCCGCGUGAGCGAAGAAGGUUUUCGAAUCGUAAAGCUCUGUCCUAUGGGAAGAUAAUGACGGUACCAUAGGAGGAAGCCCCGGCUAACUACGUGCCAGCAGCCGCGGUAAUACGUAGGGGGCAAGCGUUGUCCGGAAUCACUGGGCGUAAAGGGUUCGCAGGCGGAAAUGCAAGUCAGUUGUGAAAGGCAGAGGCUCAACCUCUGUAAGCAAUUGAAAUUGUAUUUCUUGAGAUGUGGAGAGGCAAGUGGAAUUCCUAGUGUAGCGGUGAAAUGCGUAGAUAUUAGGAAGAAUACCGGUGGCGAAGGCGACUUGCUGGACACAAACUGACGCUGAGGAACGAAAGCGUGGGUAGCAAACAGG